GAGAAAGCUUCAGUCAAAAGGAUCAGACUGAGGAAGGGAACACCGCCAAGCCCCAUGUAUGGGACCAAAGGAGAGUGGAUGAAUGAGGUUACAAGCUUUUAUCAAUCAUCACCAGUCUGAGGACCACACUUAGAGUAACACCGCAAUCAAUCGCAUCCAUAAAGGGCUUGGCAUCGUGUCUGGUAUGCUCUGCAGUUGGUCAAAUCGUAGGUAGAAGGAUGAGAACUAUGCUUCAAGAAGAAUAACUGAGGACACACGAGCACAGGGCAUGAAAAUUACAAAGGCAUGAUGGUUGCUGAGUACUUGGCACUGAUGAUGUCACAGACUGAAAGUUUGCGACCCACCCCCUGAAAUUUCAGGUGCUGACAUCCUAACCCCCAAUAUGACGAUAUUGGGAGGUGGGGCCUUUGAGAGGCAAUGAGGUCAUGAAUGGGAUUAGCGUCCUCAUACAAGAGGCACC
Prionailurus viverrinus (fishing cat) is the source of this 460-nucleotide long non-coding RNA. RefSeq lists it as uncharacterized. The record is from RefSeq and is a predicted model, not a curated record. Lineage: Eukaryota; Metazoa; Chordata; Mammalia; Carnivora; Felidae. The transcript is spliced from 3 exons.